AUGACGGGGGUGGAGCUGGUUGGUUUGCAAUUGGCAGCAUCUCCGAUCCUGAAGAAGCUCCUCGCGGAUGCUUCAACAUACCUUGGGGUUGACAUGGCGAGCGAGCUCCAUGAACUGGAGAUCACCAUCAUGCCGCAGUUCGAGCUGAUGAUUGAAGCAGCUAACAAGGGCAAUCACAGGGUCAAGUUGGACAAAUGGGUCCAGGAGCUCAAAGAAGCCUUCUACAAAGCUGAAGAUCUGCUGGACAUGCACGAGUAUGACCUCCUCGACCGCAAAGCAAAGAGUGGGAGAGAGUCCUCGCCACCCCGUGCCUCAUCAAUCAGGACUAUUUUGAAGCCUCUGCGUGCUGCUUCUAACAGGCAGGGAGUUGCGUGA
RNAcentral lists this ribosomal RNA (375 nucleotides) under Triticum aestivum (bread wheat). Its description in RNAcentral is "partial small subunit ribosomal RNA". Lineage: Eukaryota; Viridiplantae; Streptophyta; Magnoliopsida; Poales; Poaceae. The record is from RNAcentral.